UAUCUCUGUAGAGUCUGCAUAUCAAUAAGCGGAGGAAAAGAAACUAACAAGGAUUCCCUUAGUAACGGCGAGUGAAGCGGGAAGAGCUCAAAUUUGAAAUCUUCAAGGUUCUACCUUGACGAAUUGUAGUUUAAAGAAGUGUUUUCUGUUGGAGUUUUGGUAAAAGUUCUUUGGAAUAGGACAUCAUAGAGGGUGAGAAUCCCGUAUUUGACCAUUAUUUCCAGCUGUGUGAUACACUUUCAAAGAGUCGGAUUGUUUGGGAAUGCAGUCCAAAAUGGGUGGUAAAUUUCAUCUAAAGCUAAAUAUUGGCGAGAGACCGAUAGCGAACAAGUACCGUGAGGGAAAGAUGAAAAGAACUUUGAAAAGAGAGUUAAACAGUACGUGAAAUUGUCAAAAGGGAAGCGUUUGACACCAGUGUUGUUUUCCUCGAAAAUCAAUUAAAAAAGUUAGGAUUUUGUGUUGUAUUGACUUUAUCAGCUUUCUGCACUCUUUUCUUGUCUUUUUUAAUGCACUUUUCGUUUAACAAGUCAACAUCAAUUUCUUUUGUUGUAAAAGGGUCAUUGGAAGGUGGCUUUCUUUUCGGAGAAAGUGUUUAUAGCCUUUGGCCUCUGCAAUCGGAGAGAUUGAGGUCUGCAGCGUAGAUCCUUCGGGGUUAGAUACAUUUGUGCUAAGUUGUAGCUUUUCAUAGACAACUUGUUGACUAUGUUUAGUCAUGCGGCUUACUCGCUUGUGCUAUUUUACCUACGCUUAGGAUGUUGAAGAUGUAGCACAUCAU
RNAcentral lists this ribosomal RNA (775 nucleotides) under uncultured Neocallimastigales. RNAcentral describes it as "partial large subunit ribosomal RNA". It matches the Rfam family "Eukaryotic large subunit ribosomal RNA", at positions 24 to 639 of the family's 3401-position model. Lineage: Eukaryota; Fungi; Neocallimastigomycota; Neocallimastigomycetes; Neocallimastigales. The record is from RNAcentral.